UACGUAGGGGCCAAGCGUUGUCCGGAUUUAUUGGGCGUAAAGAGCUCGUAGGCGGUUCGGCAAGUCAGCUGUGAAAUCUCCACGCUCAACGUGGAGGGGUCAGCUGAUACUGCUGUGACUUGAGUCCGGUAGGGGAGUGUGGAAUUCCCGGUGUAGCGGUGAAAUGCGCAGAUAUCGGGAGGAACACCAGUAGCGAAGGCGGCUCACUGGCCCGGUACUGACGCUGAGGUGCGAAAGCGUGGGAGCAAACAGG
RNAcentral lists this ribosomal RNA (253 nucleotides) under uncultured bacterium. RNAcentral's name for it is "partial 16S ribosomal RNA". It matches the Rfam family "Bacterial small subunit ribosomal RNA", at positions 524 to 776 of the family's 1533-position model. The record is from RNAcentral.